RNAcentral lists this microRNA (21 nucleotides) under Homo sapiens (human). Its description in RNAcentral is "hsa-miR-4797-3p". The record is from miRBase by way of RNAcentral. Lineage: Eukaryota; Metazoa; Chordata; Mammalia; Primates; Hominidae.
UCUCAGUAAGUGGCACUCUGU